RNAcentral lists this ribosomal RNA (562 nucleotides) under Pestalotiopsis humicola. RNAcentral describes it as "partial large subunit ribosomal RNA". It matches the Rfam family "Eukaryotic large subunit ribosomal RNA", at positions 101 to 685 of the family's 3401-position model. Lineage: Eukaryota; Fungi; Ascomycota; Sordariomycetes; Amphisphaeriales; Sporocadaceae. The record is from RNAcentral.
GCAACAGCUCAAAUUUGAAAUCUGGCCCUCGGGUCCGAAUUGUAAUUUGUAGAGGAUGAUUUUGGUGCGGUAUCUUCCGAGUUCCUUGGAACAGGACGCCUUAGAGGGUGAGAGCCCCGUACGGUUGAAUGCCUAGCCUCUGUAAAUCUCCUUCGACGAGUCGAGUAGUUUGGGAAUGCUGCUCUAAAUGGGAGGUAAAUUUCUUCUAAAGCUAAAUAUUGGCCAGAGACCGAUAGCGCACAAGUAGAGUGAUCGAAAGAUGAAAAGCACUUUGAAAAGAGGGUUAAAUAGCACGUGAAAUUGUUGAAAGGGAAGGAUUUGUGACCAGACUUUUUCUGGGCGGAUCAUCCGGGGUUCUCUCCGGUGCACUUUGCCCAGUAAAGGCCAGCAUCGAUUUUCGGCGGCGGAUAAAAGCAGUGGGAAUGUGGCUCCCUACGGGGAGUGUUAUAGCCCAUUGUAUAAUACGCUGCUGGGGAUCGAGGUACGCGCUUCUGCAAGGAUGCUGGCGUAAUGGUUAUCAAUCACCCGUCUUGAAACACGGACCAAGGAGUCGAACAUUUAU